GCUCGGAUGGCGGAAUUGGUAGACGCGCAUGAUUCAGGAUCAUGUAGGGCGACCUGUGGGAGUUCGAGUCUCCCUCCGAGCACCA
Molecule: transfer RNA, 85 nt
Filed under: Bdellovibrionales bacterium
Lineage: Bacteria; Pseudomonadati; Bdellovibrionota; Bdellovibrionia; Bdellovibrionales
Description: tRNA-Leu
Rfam family: tRNA
About the family: Transfer RNA (tRNA) molecules are approximately 80 nucleotides in length. Their secondary structure includes four short double-helical elements and three loops (D, anti-codon, and T loops). Further hydrogen bonds mediate the characteristic L-shaped molecular structure. tRNAs have two regions of fundamental functional importance: the anti-codon, which is responsible for specific mRNA codon recognition, and the 3' end, to which the tRNAs corresponding amino acid is attached (by aminoacyl-tRNA synthetases). tRNAs cope with the degeneracy of the genetic code in two manners: having more than one tRNA (with a specific anti-codon) for a particular amino acid; and 'wobble' base-pairing, i.e. permitting non-standard base-pairing at the 3rd anti-codon position.
Source: RNAcentral